GAGUUUGAUCGUGGCUCAGGAUGAACGCUAGCGGCAGGCUUAAUACAUGCAAGUCGUGGGGCAGCAGGACGGUAGCAAUACCGUUGCUGGCGACCGGCAAACGGGUGCGGAACACGUACACAACCUUCCUUUAAGUGGGGAAUAGCCCGGGGAAACCCGGAUUAAUACCCCGUAACAUAUAGAAGUGGCAUCACUUUUAUAUUAUAGCUCCGGCGCUUAAAGAUGGGUGUGCGGCUGAUUAGAUAGUUGGCGGGGUAACGGCCCACCAAGUCGACGAUCAGUAACUGGUGUGAGAGCACGACCAGUCACACGGGCACUGAGACACGGGCCCGACUCCUACGGGAGGCAGCAGUAAGGAAUAUUGGUCAAUGGACGAAAGUCUGAACCAGCCAUGCCGCGUGAAGGAUGACGGCCCUCUGGGUUGUAAACUUCUUUAUCUGGGACGAAAAAGAUCAUUCCUGAUCACUUGACGGUACCAGAGGAAUAAGCACCGGCUAACUCCGUGCCAGCAGCCGCGGU
This 519-nucleotide ribosomal RNA is filed under the name uncultured Sphingobacterium sp. Its description in RNAcentral is "bacterial SSU rRNA". It matches the Rfam family "Bacterial small subunit ribosomal RNA", at positions 9 to 521 of the family's 1533-position model. RNAcentral also lists the same sequence under 1 other name. The record is from RNAcentral. Lineage: Bacteria; Pseudomonadati; Bacteroidota; Sphingobacteriia; Sphingobacteriales; Sphingobacteriaceae.